UUCUUAUCGAGAGAAGCUGAGGGACUGGCCCAAUGAAGCUUCAGCAACCAACUUUAUGUCAGGUGCUAAAUCCAGAAGACUAUUGAGUCGAAGAUGAGAA
RNAcentral lists this non-coding RNA (100 nucleotides) under Lysinibacillus macroides. Its description in RNAcentral is "SAM-I sequence". It matches the Rfam family "SAM riboswitch aptamer (S box leader)". Rfam says of the family: The SAM riboswitch is found upstream of a number of genes which code for proteins involved in methionine or cysteine biosynthesis in Gram-positive bacteria. The SAM riboswitch acts at the level of transcription termination control. The predicted structure consists of a complex stem-loop region followed by a single stem loop terminator region. The record is from RNAcentral. Lineage: Bacteria; Bacillati; Bacillota; Bacilli; Caryophanales; Bacillaceae.